UUAAAAGUGAGGGGCCCAGAACUGAGCACAGCACUGAAGGUGCAGCCUCAUGAUGCUGAGGGGUGAUCCCUGCCCUGGUCCUGCUGGUCACACUGCUGCCGACACAGGCCAAGAUGCCACUGGCCUCCUGGGACACCUGGGCACACUCUGGCUCCUACUGAGGCAGCUGUGCACCAGCACUGCCAGCCCAUUCUCCAAACAGCUCUGAUGCCACUUCUCCCUUAACAGCAGUGGCUUUGCGUGUGAUGGAGCCACAAAACAAGAGUGCAGCAGCUAAACUGGUUGAGAAGGGCAGGGAAGUUGGUGAAGAUGGACUGUAACCAGGUGAAGUGAGAGCCCAGGCAGUCUGGAAGGAGAACAGCCAUAAAACACCUGGUAUCAUGUAUUUGGAAAUACUGUCCUAUGUCAUUCCCUGUGGCAGCAGUGAAAGAUUUCACUACAAAAAUCAAUCCUUUCAAUCUCAGAAGACCCUGGGGAUGCCAACUUGUCUCACCUUUCUCCAAAACCUGUUAAAAAAUUCAGUAUGUUUUGAGGAGGCUUUUAUGAUACAUCAGCUCUUGGGCUUUUCCAUUGUACACCUUAUCCGUGGAAUUUAUUUUAAUGUUCAGUUACAUAUAAUAUUGUUUCUGGACCUCAUUUGUGUUUUUCCUACCUGACAACAGUUUUCUGAAAUGUUAUAUAAAAUAAAGCCCAUCAAAAAACAUCAGUGCACCUCCGGUUGUCUUUUUCAGCCAUGGCUCACUAAAAUGUCCUAAUACAGGGCAUGGAUGCUCUCCUUAUAAUCCUUGGGAUGCAAAAACCUCGACUAUGCCAGAAAAAGUCAGGGUGCAGCAAACCCAACCUAUUUGAUUUAUUCAUGGUAAAUCACAUUAAUUCCUCUCAAGGCUACUAUUUCAUGCACAAAUAUUUGCUUCAGUCUCAAAGCAGAGAUCAGCAGAAUAAA
Long non-coding RNA from Passer domesticus (house sparrow), 943 nucleotides. RefSeq lists it as uncharacterized. The transcript has 3 exons. The record is from RefSeq and is a predicted model, not a curated record. NCBI's taxonomy places the organism in Eukaryota, Metazoa, Chordata, Aves, Passeriformes, Passeridae.